UGACAUUCAUGUUCAGCCUUUGACGACC
RNAcentral lists this non-coding RNA (28 nucleotides) under Homo sapiens (human). Lineage: Eukaryota; Metazoa; Chordata; Mammalia; Primates; Hominidae. The record is from RNAcentral.